UUACACAUGCAAGUCGAACGGCAGCGCGGGGCAACCUGGCGGCGAGUGGCGAACGGGUGAGUAAUAUAUCGGAACGUACCCAAGAGUGGGGGAUAACGUAGCGAAAGUUACGCUAAUACCGCAUACGAUCUAUGGAUGAAAGUGGGGGAUCGCAAGACCUCAUGCUCCUGGAGCGGCCGAUAUCUGAUUAGCUAGUUGGUGAGGUAAAGGCUCACCAAGGCGACGAUCAGUAGCUGGUCUGAGAGGACGACCAGCCACACUGGAACUGAGACACGGUCCAGACUCCUACGGGAGGCAGCAGUGGGGAAUUUUGGACAAUGGGCGCAAGCCUGAUCCAGCAAUGCCGCGUGAGUGAAGAAGGCCUUCGGGUUGUAAAGCUCUUUUGUCAGGGAAGAAACGGUGGGAGCUAAUAUCUCUUGCUAAUGACGGUACCUGAAGAAUAAGCACCGGCUAACUACGUGCCAGCAGCCGCGGUAAUACGUAGGGUGCAAGCGUUAAUCGGAAUUACUGGGCGUAAAGCGUGCGCAGGCGGUUUUGUAAGUCUGUCGUGAAAGCCCCGGGCUCAACCUGGGAAUUGCGAUGGAGACUGCAAGGCUUGAAUCUGGCAGAGGGGGGUAGAAUUCCACGUGUAGCAGUGAAAUGCGUAGAGAUGUGGAGGAACACCGAUGGCGAAGGCAGCCCCCUGGGUCAAGAUUGACGCUCAUGCACGAAAGCGUGGGGAGCAAACAGGAUUAGAUACCCUGGUAGUCCACGCCCUAAACGAUGUCUACUAGUUGUCGGGGUUUUAAUUAACUUGGUAACGCAGCUAACGCGUGAAGUAGACCGCCUGGGGAGUACGGUCGCAAGAUUAAAACUCAAAGGAAUUGACGGGGACCCGCACAAGCGGUGGAUGAUGUGGAUUAAUUCGAUGCAACGCGAAAAACCUUACCUACCCUUGACAUGUACGGAAGGCCGGAGAGAU
This 961-nucleotide ribosomal RNA is filed under the name Massilia brevitalea. RNAcentral describes it as "bacterial SSU rRNA". It matches the Rfam family "Bacterial small subunit ribosomal RNA", at positions 49 to 1007 of the family's 1533-position model. Lineage: Bacteria; Pseudomonadati; Pseudomonadota; Betaproteobacteria; Burkholderiales; Oxalobacteraceae. The record is from RNAcentral.